AUUGAACGCUGGCGGCAUGCUUUACACAUGCAAGUCGAACGGUAACAGGCCUUCGGGUGCUGACGAGUGGCGAACGGGUGAGUAAUGCAUCGGAACGUGCCCAGAGGUGGGGGAUAACGCAGCGAAAGCUGUGCUAAUACCGCAUGUGAUCUGAGGAUGAAAGCGGGGGACCAGGCAGCAAUGUUUGGCCUCGCGCCUUUGGAGCGGCCGAUGUCAGAUUAGGUAGUUGGUGGGGUAAAGGCCUACCAAGCCGACGAUCUGUAGCUGGUCUGAGAGGACGACCAGCCACACUGGGACUGAGCCACGGCCCAGACUCCUACGGGAGGCAGCAGUGGGGAAUUUUGGACAAUGGGCGCAAGCCUGAUCCAGCAAUGCCGCGUGCGGGAAGAAGGCCUUCGGGUUGUAAACCGCUUUUGUACGGAACGAAAAGGCUCUGGCUAAUACCUGGGGCUGAUGACGGUACCGUAAGAAUAAGCACCGGCUAACUACGUG
RNAcentral lists this ribosomal RNA (492 nucleotides) under uncultured bacterium. RNAcentral's name for it is "partial 16S ribosomal RNA". It matches the Rfam family "Bacterial small subunit ribosomal RNA", at positions 30 to 507 of the family's 1533-position model. The record is from RNAcentral.